Molecule: transfer RNA, 73 nt
Filed under: Verticillium dahliae VdLs.17
Lineage: Eukaryota; Fungi; Ascomycota; Sordariomycetes; Glomerellales; Plectosphaerellaceae
Also listed under: 2 other names
Description: tRNA-Sup (TCA) (tRNA-Sup-TCA-1-1)
Rfam family: tRNA
About the family: Transfer RNA (tRNA) molecules are approximately 80 nucleotides in length. Their secondary structure includes four short double-helical elements and three loops (D, anti-codon, and T loops).
Source: RNAcentral
AGUCCUGUGGUGUAGUGGUUAUCACGUUGCUCGUCAGAUGCAAAGGUCCCGAGUUCAAUCCUCGGUAGGACUA